AGCCAGUCAGAGGCUGAAGGCCACUGUCAGCCAGCCAGAGGCUGAAGGCCACUGUCAGCCAGCCAGUCAGAGGCUGAAGGCCACUCCCAGUCCGUCAAUUUGCUUCGGAUAGAUCUGCAUAUCUACAGUAUCUGAAGGACAACUGUUCUGGCUGGUAUUGAAACACACACAGGAUGUGGGUCUAGGUGUUUGUGGUGUAGCAUGCCUAUAGAAAGCUACAUUCUUGCCCAGUGUCAACAGAAAAUGAACAAGAAUAUGCAACCAUUUUAAGAUGUACAAAUAAGACUAAGUUAGCUACAAGGAACUACAUUAUGAUGCAGAUUAAAAUACUGACUGGGGAAGUUAUUUUUCAGUGUUCUAGUUUCACUGACUCUACAUUCACAAACACUGUUUGGCUACUGAUGAAAAUGAGCUGUAUUUUUGGUUAUUGUGUACUGUCCUUGUUGAAUAAAUAAAUAAACUGUCUCUUCGUUCUUUCCAGGAGCUGUUGUCAGAGGUGAAAGGCGGAGAGGAGGAGAAGGGCAGGCUGUCUGGGAUGGCGGUGCACCUGCUAGCAUGGAGCAUUUCUCUGGGGAGCACCUUCUUCUGUGCACUCGGCAUCCACUGCUUUGCCAAGUACAUGCACCUGAAUUCUACUUUGAGGAGACAUGAGGAUGCAGAGGGG
This is a long non-coding RNA of Oncorhynchus tshawytscha (Chinook salmon), 664 nucleotides long. RefSeq lists it as uncharacterized. The record is from RefSeq and is a predicted model, not a curated record. The transcript has 3 exons. NCBI's taxonomy places the organism in Eukaryota, Metazoa, Chordata, Actinopteri, Salmoniformes, Salmonidae.